GCGCACAGCCAUUUAUUGAAUGAAUGAAUGAGUGUGUACAAAAUACAUACAUACGGCGUGGCGCGUCUGGUUUCAUGUGUGCGCUGUAUUGUUACUCGUGCCAUGUGGUUGCUAUUUAAACGUUCCUGCUUGUUCCUACUUGAUGUGUACAUAUAUUCGUUUAAAUACAUACAUUUUGAUUUUUAAAUAAACACAAUGCCGAAAGUUCGUACGCAAGUUACGGCUCGUGUUCACAAAGAAGUAGCUAGACAAGGUAUCUUGUUUAAUAAGGAUUUUGGUCAACACAUUUUGAAGAAUCCGUUAAUCAUACAAAAUAUGGUAGAAAAAGCUGCACUCAGGCCAACCGAUGUUAUAUUGGAAGUUGGUCCUGGUACAGGUAAUAUGACGAUAAAACUGCUAGAAAAAGCAAAAAAAGUUAUAGCAUACGAAGUAGAUCCAAGAUUAGUAGCGGAAUUACAAAAACGUGUUCAAGGAACACUGUAUCAGCCAAAAUUAGAAAUAAUGGUUGGAGAUGUAUUAAAGUCAGAUUUACCCUUUUUUGAUUUGUGUGUUGCUAACAUACCAUAUCAGAUAUCGUCGCCGUUAGUGUUCAAACUACUUUUGCACAGACCAUUAUUCAGAUGUGCUGUACUUAUGUUUCAAAGAGAAUUUGCAGAGCGUUUGGUAGCUAAACCUGGUGACAAAUUGUAUUGUCGCUUGAGCAUUAACACACAAUUAUUGGCACGAGUAGAUAUGCUGAUGAAAGUCGGAAAGAAUAAUUUUAAGCCUCCACCUAAGGUAGAAUCAAAUGUAGUAAGAAUUGAGCCAAGAAAUCCAUCACCACCGAUCAAUUAUCAAGAAUGGGAUAGUCUGACAAGAAUUGCAUUUCUCAGAAAAAAUAAGACUCUCUCUGCAGCCUUCAAGCAAAACACAGUUACCACUAUGUUGGAAAAGAAUUAUAAGAUUCAUUGUUCUUUGAAUAACAAGACAAUUUUGAUAUCAAACAAUUGGCAGACCACAUUUUAAAAAAAACAAAAGCAGAAAACAAACGAGCCAGGACUAUGGACAUACCUGAUUUUAUCAAGCUUUUACAUGCAUUCAAUGCAGAAGGCGUACAUUUUGCAUAAAUUAUACUAGUCUAUCUAUUACUUGUUAAUAAGUUAGGAAUUUUUAUAGGAAAGUAUGUAAAAUAUAACAAAUAUAUUUUGUUAGAACAGCAAAUCUCUCUGGUAACCUUUUUAUUUAAAAUAACUGAAUUUGUUAUACAUAUCGAGGCCAUUUAAAUGAUCGUUUAUUUAAGAUCAAUUUGAUUAUACAUAAUAGUUCUAAAUCAUAUAUAAAAAGAAAUCGAGAACUCUUCUACGAGAUUUCUACCGUGUAUAAUAUUAAUUCUACACUAUGCACAUAUAAUUCAAACUUUAAUAUCUACUAUUAAUGUAAAUUUUAUUACAUUGAACUGACAAUCCGUAGAUCGGAUUAUAUUUCAGACAUAAUUUUGAUUAUGGAUAUUUGAUUAUAUAUGCCGUGCCAUUUUUCAAUAUUCAACUUCAUCUUGGUCUCCUAAUUUAUAUUCGUAAAAAUGUAUAUAUUAAUGAGACUGUUGUAAAGAUUUUAUCUAUCCACUUUUUAUCAAUAUGACAAAUGCUAACUAUAUUGCUAUAUCAUAUAAAAACAUCUACUUACUAUUUUGUAUGAUUUACUUCAGUGUAUGAUUAGAAGAAUGAUGCAAAUAGUUAUUUUUCAAACCAAACUCGGAGACACUACAAUUACUGGUAAAAAUCAUUACCGAUACAAUUAAUAUUAAUAAAAAUUAAUAUGAUCAAUAAAGGAAUAACCAUUCAAGUGCAUUACACUUCAAUGUACAAUGAUUGGAAAAUUUGAUAAUAUAAAUUACAUAUGAAAAGAUGGAAUUAAAUGACUGUCUCGCUAAGAUUGAAGUUGCAGGUCAAGUUAGAUUAAC
Molecule: unclassified non-coding RNA, 1939 nt
Filed under: Harpegnathos saltator (Jerdon's jumping ant)
Lineage: Eukaryota; Metazoa; Arthropoda; Insecta; Hymenoptera; Formicidae
Description: probable dimethyladenosine transferase, transcript variant X1
Source: RNAcentral